RNAcentral lists this ribosomal RNA (1554 nucleotides) under Klebsiella aerogenes. Its description in RNAcentral is "16S ribosomal RNA". It matches the Rfam family "Bacterial small subunit ribosomal RNA". Lineage: Bacteria; Pseudomonadati; Pseudomonadota; Gammaproteobacteria; Enterobacterales; Enterobacteriaceae. The record is from RNAcentral.
ACUUAAAUUGAAGAGUUUGAUCAUGGCUCAGAUUGAACGCUGGCGGCAGGCCUAACACAUGCAAGUCGAGCGGUAGCACAGAGAGCUUGCUCUCGGGUGACGAGCGGCGGACGGGUGAGUAAUGUCUGGGAAACUGCCUGAUGGAGGGGGAUAACUACUGGAAACGGUAGCUAAUACCGCAUAACGUCGCAAGACCAAAGUGGGGGACCUUCGGGCCUCAUGCCAUCAGAUGUGCCCAGAUGGGAUUAGCUAGUAGGUGGGGUAAUGGCUCACCUAGGCGACGAUCCCUAGCUGGUCUGAGAGGAUGACCAGCCACACUGGAACUGAGACACGGUCCAGACUCCUACGGGAGGCAGCAGUGGGGAAUAUUGCACAAUGGGCGCAAGCCUGAUGCAGCCAUGCCGCGUGUAUGAAGAAGGCCUUCGGGUUGUAAAGUACUUUCAGCGAGGAGGAAGGCGUUAAGGUUAAUAACCUUAGCGAUUGACGUUACUCGCAGAAGAAGCACCGGCUAACUCCGUGCCAGCAGCCGCGGUAAUACGGAGGGUGCAAGCGUUAAUCGGAAUUACUGGGCGUAAAGCGCACGCAGGCGGUCUGUCAAGUCGGAUGUGAAAUCCCCGGGCUCAACCUGGGAACUGCAUUCGAAACUGGCAGGCUAGAGUCUUGUAGAGGGGGGUAGAAUUCCAGGUGUAGCGGUGAAAUGCGUAGAGAUCUGGAGGAAUACCGGUGGCGAAGGCGGCCCCCUGGACAAAGACUGACGCUCAGGUGCGAAAGCGUGGGGAGCAAACAGGAUUAGAUACCCUGGUAGUCCACGCCGUAAACGAUGUCGACUUGGAGGUUGUGCCCUUGAGGCGUGGCUUCCGGAGCUAACGCGUUAAGUCGACCGCCUGGGGAGUACGGCCGCAAGGUUAAAACUCAAAUGAAUUGACGGGGGCCCGCACAAGCGGUGGAGCAUGUGGUUUAAUUCGAUGCAACGCGAAGAACCUUACCUACUCUUGACAUCCAGAGAACUUAGCAGAGAUGCUUUGGUGCCUUCGGGAACUCUGAGACAGGUGCUGCAUGGCUGUCGUCAGCUCGUGUUGUGAAAUGUUGGGUUAAGUCCCGCAACGAGCGCAACCCUUAUCCUUUGUUGCCAGCGGUCCGGCCGGGAACUCAAAGGAGACUGCCAGUGAUAAACUGGAGGAAGGUGGGGAUGACGUCAAGUCAUCAUGGCCCUUACGAGUAGGGCUACACACGUGCUACAAUGGCAUAUACAAAGAGAAGCGACCUCGCGAGAGCAAGCGGACCUCAUAAAGUAUGUCGUAGUCCGGAUUGGAGUCUGCAACUCGACUCCAUGAAGUCGGAAUCGCUAGUAAUCGUAGAUCAGAAUGCUACGGUGAAUACGUUCCCGGGCCUUGUACACACCGCCCGUCACACCAUGGGAGUGGGUUGCAAAAGAAGUAGGUAGCUUAACCUUCGGGAGGGCGCUUACCACUUUGUGAUUCAUGACUGGGGUGAAGUCGUAACAAGGUAACCGUAGGGGAACCUGCGGUUGGAUCACCUCCUUACCUUAAAGAA